AAAACUGCACACAAAUAUUCAAGGUGACACUGCACCAGUGUAGAGCAGGGCAGGACAAUCCCCUCUCUCGACCAGCUUGUGAUGCAGGUGCAGGUCCUG
Molecule: long non-coding RNA, 99 nt
Organism: Neopelma chrysocephalum (saffron-crested tyrant-manakin)
Lineage: Eukaryota; Metazoa; Chordata; Aves; Passeriformes; Pipridae
Exons: 3
Source: RefSeq, a predicted model, not a curated record